This 107-nucleotide small nuclear RNA is filed under the name Catagonus wagneri (Chacoan peccary). Lineage: Eukaryota; Metazoa; Chordata; Mammalia; Artiodactyla; Tayassuidae. The record is from RNAcentral.
GGGCUCAUUUCAGCAGCACAUAUACUAAAACUGGAAUGAGACAGAGAAGAUUAGCAUGGCCCCUGUGAAUGGAUGACAUGCAAAUUCAUAAAGUGUUCCACAUUAUU